RNAcentral lists this ribosomal RNA (429 nucleotides) under bacterium. RNAcentral describes it as "partial 16S ribosomal RNA". It matches the Rfam family "Bacterial small subunit ribosomal RNA", at positions 355 to 776 of the family's 1533-position model. The record is from RNAcentral.
UAGGGAAUCUUCCACAAUGGACGCAAGUCUGAUGGAGCAACGCCGCGUGAGUGAAGAAGGUUUUCGGAUCGUAAAGCUCUGUUGUUGGUGAAGAAGGAUAGAGGCAGUAACUGGUCUUUAUUUGACGGUAAUCAACCAGAAAGUCACGGCUAACUACGUGCCAGCAGCCGCGGUAAUACGUAGGUGGCAAGCGUUGUCCGGAUUUAUUGGGCGGAAAGCGAGCGCAGGCGGAAUGAUAAGUCUGAUGUGAAAGCCCACGGCUCAACCGUGGAACUGCAUCGGAAACUGUCAUUCUUGAGUGCAGAAGAGGAGAGUGGAAUUCCAUGUGUAGCGGUGGAAUGCGUAGAUAUAUGGAAGAACACCAGUGGCGAAGGCGGCUCUCUGGUCUGCAACUGACGCUGAGUCUCGAAAGCAUGGGUAGCGAACAGG